RNAcentral lists this ribosomal RNA (450 nucleotides) under uncultured Glomus. RNAcentral's name for it is "SSU rRNA". It matches the Rfam family "Eukaryotic small subunit ribosomal RNA", at positions 569 to 1023 of the family's 1831-position model. The record is from RNAcentral. Lineage: Eukaryota; Fungi; Glomeromycota; Glomeromycetes; Glomerales; Glomeraceae.
AGCAGCCGCGGUAAUUCCAGCUCCAAUAGCGUAUAUUAAAGUUGUUGCAGUUAAAAAGCUCGUAGUUGAACCUCGGGAUCAAUGGAUCGGUCAUGCCAUCGGUAUGUACUGGUCUCAUUGGUUCUCACCUUCUAAGGAACCAUGAUGUCAUUCAGUUGAUGUUGUGGGGAAUUAGGACUGUUACCUUGAAAAAAUUAGAGUGUUUAAAGCAGGCUAACGCUUGAAUACAUUAGCAUGGAAUAAUGAAAUAGGACAUCGCAUUCUAUUUUGUUGGUUUCUAGGAUCGAUGUAAUGAUUAAUAGGGAUAGUUGGGGGCAUUAGUAUUCAAUUGUCAGAGGUGAAAUUCUUGGAUUUAUUGAAGACUAACUACUGCGAAAGCAUUUGCCAAGGAUGUUUUCAUUAAUCAAGAACGAAAGUUAGGGGAUCGAAGACGAUCAGAUACCGUCGUAG